GGUUAAGCGACUAAGCGUACACGGUGGAUGCCCUGGCAGUCAGAGGCGAUGAAGGGCGUGCUAAUCUGCGAUAAGCGCCGGUAAGGUGAUAUGAACCGUUAUAACCGGCGAUACCCGAAUGGGGAAACCCAGUGUGAUUCGUCACACUAUCAUUAACUGAAUCCAUAGGUUAAUGAGGCGAACCGGGGGAACUGAAACAUCUAAGUACCCCGAGGAAAAGAAAUCAACCGAGAUUCCCCCAGUAGCGGCGAGCGAACGGGGAGGAGCCCAGAGCCUGAAUCAGCAUGUGUGUUAGUGGAAGCGUCUGGAAAGGCGCGCGAUACAGGGUGACAGCCCCGUACACAAAAGCGCAUGUGCUGUGAGCUCGAUGAGUAGGGCGGGACACGUGGUAUCCUGUCUGAAUAUGGGGGACCAUCCUCCAAGGCUAAAUACUCCUGACUGACCGAUAGUGAACCAGUACCGUGAGGGAAAGGCGAAAAGAACCCCGGCGAGGGGAGUGAAAAAGAACCUGAAACCGUGUACGUACAAGCAGUGGGAGCACCCUUCGGGGUGUGACUGCGUACCUUUUGUAUAAUGGGUCAGCGACUUAUAUUCUGUAGCAAGGUUAACCGAAUAGGGGAGCCGCAGGGAAACCGAGUCUUAAUUGGGCGUUAAGUUGCAGGGUAUAGACCCGAAACCCGGUGAUCUAGCCAUGGGCAGGUUGAAGGUUGGGUAACACUAACUGGAGGAUCGAACCGACUAAUGUUGAAAAAUUAGCGGAUGACCUGUGGCUGGGGGUGAAAGGCCAAUCAAACCGGGAGAUAGCUGGUUCUCCCCGAAAGCUAUUUAGGUAGCGCCUCGUGAAUUCAUCUCCGGGGGUAGAGCACUGUUUCGGCUAGGGGGCCAUCCCGGCUUACCAACCCGAUGCAAACUGCGAAUACCGGAGAAUGUUAUCACGGGAGACACACGGCGGGUGCUAACGUCCGUCGUGAAGAGGGAAACAACCCAGACCGCCAGCUAAGGUCCCAAAGUCAUGGUUAAGUGGGAAACGAUGUGGGAAGGCCCAGACAGCCAGGAUGUUGGCUUAGAAGCAGCCAUCAUUUAAAGAAAGCGUAAUAGCUCACUGGUCGAGUCGGCCUGCGCGGAAGAUGUAACGGGGCUAAACCAUGCACCGAAGCUGCGGCAGCGAACGUAUCACCCAAGACAACUUUGCGGAGUUGACGAUUGACGGAGCGAAGCGACGUCAAAGCGUUCAUUAAAGUCGAGUUGGCUUAGGGAUACGUUCGUUGGGUAGGGGAGCGUUCUGUAAGCCUGUGAAGGUGGCCUGUGAGGGUUGCUGGAGGUAUCAGAAGUGCGAAUGCUGACAUAAGUAACGAUAAAGCGGGUGAAAAGCCCGCUCGCCGGAAGACCAAGGGUUCCUGUCCAACGUUAAUCGGGGCAGGGUGAGUCGACCCCUAAGGCGAGGCCGAAAGGCGUAGUCGAUGGGAAACGGGUUAAUAUUCCCGUACUUGGUGUUACUGCGAAGGGGGGACGGAGAAGGCUAUGUUGGCCGGGCGACGGUUGUCCCGGUUUAAGCGUGUAGGUGUGUGUUCCAGGUAAAUCCGGUUCACUUUAACACUGAGGCGUGAUGACGAGGCACUACGGUGCUGAAGCAACAAAUGCCCUGCUUCCAGGAAAAGCCUCUAAGCAUCAGGUAACAUCAAAUCGUACCCCAAACCGACACAGGUGGUCAGGUAGAGAAUACCAAGGCGCUUGAGAGAACUCGGGUGAAGGAACUAGGCAAAAUGGUGCCGUAACUUCGGGAGAAGGCACGCUGACAUGUAGGUGAAGUGAUUUACUCAUGGAGCUGAAGUCAGUCGAAGAUACCAGCUGGCUGCAACUGUUUAUUAAAAACACAGCACUGUGCAAACACGAAAGUGGACGUAUACGGUGUGACGCCUGCCCGGUGCCGGAAGGUUAAUUGAUGGGGUCAGCGCAAGCGAAGCUCCUGAUCGAAGCCCCGGUAAACGGCGGCCGUAACUAUAACAGUCCUAAGGUAGCGAAAUUCCUUGUCGGGUAAGUUCCGACCUGCACGAAUGGCGUAAUGAUGGCCAGGCUGUCUCCACCCGAGACUCAGUGAAAUUGAACUCGCUGUGAAGAUGCAGUGUACCCGCGGCAAGACGGAAAGACCCCGUGAACCUUUACUAUAGCUUGACACUGAACAUUGAGCCUUGAUGUGUAGGAUAGGUGGGAGGCUUUGAAGUGUGGACGCCAGUCUGCAUGGAGCCGACCUUGAAAUACCACCCUUUAAUGUUUGAUGUUCUAACGUGAAUCCGUAAUCCGGGUUGCGGACAGUGUCUGGUGGGUAGUUUGACUGGGGCGGUCUCCUCCUAAAGAGUAACGGAGGAGCACGAAGGUUGGCUAAUCCUGGUCGGACAUCAGGAGGUUAGUGCAAUGGCAUAAGCCAGCUUGACUGCGAGCGUGACGGCGCGAGCAGGUGCGAAAGCAGGUCAUAGUGAUCCGGUGGUUCUGAAUGGAAGGGCCAUCGCUCAACGGAUAAAAGGUACUCCGGGGAUAACAGGCUGAUACCGCCCAAGAGUUCAUAUCGACGGCGGUGUUUGGCACCUCGAUGUCGGCUCAUCACAUCCUGGGGCUGAAGUAGGUCCCAAGGGUAUGGCUGUUCGCCAUUUAAAGUGGUACGCGAGCUGGGUUUAGAACGUCGUGAGACAGUUCGGUCCCUAUCUGCCGUGGGCGCUGGAGAACUGAGGGGGGCUGCUCCUAGUACGAGAGGACCGGAGUGGACGCAUCACUGGUGUUCGGGUUGUCAUGCCAAUGGCACUGCCCGGUAGCUAAAUGCGGAAGAGAUAAGUGCUGAAAGCAUCUAAGCACGAAACUUGCCCCGAGAUGAGUUCUCCCUGAGACUUUAGGUCUCCUGAAGGAACGUUGAAGACGACGACGUUGAUAGGCCGGGUGUGUAAGCGCAGCGAUGCGUUGAGCUAACCGGUACUAAUGAACCGUGAGGCUUAACCUU
RNAcentral lists this ribosomal RNA (2989 nucleotides) under Salmonella enterica subsp. enterica serovar Adelaide. Its description in RNAcentral is "23S ribosomal RNA". It matches the Rfam family "Bacterial large subunit ribosomal RNA". Lineage: Bacteria; Pseudomonadati; Pseudomonadota; Gammaproteobacteria; Enterobacterales; Enterobacteriaceae. The record is from RNAcentral.